GAUGAACGUUGGCGGUGUGCCUAAUACAUGCAAGUCGAACGGAGACUGUAGCAAUACUGUCUUAGUGGCGAACGGGUGAGUAACGCGUUGGUGAUCUGCCUCGAAGUGUGGAAUAACCUCCCGAAAGGGAAGCUAAUACCGCAUAGUCUCUCAAGGUUUAGAAAAUUGAGAGUAAAGGAUUUAUUCGCUUCGAGAGGAGCCUGCGUCCCAUCAGCUGGUUGGUAGGGUAACGGCCUACCAAGGCAAUGACGGGGUAGGGACCGUGAGAGGGUGGCCCCCCACAAUGGAACUGAAACACGGUCCAUACACCUACGGGUGGCAGCAGUAGGGAAUAUUAGAAAUGGACGAAAGUCUGAUCUAGCGACACCGCGUGUGCGAAGAAGGCCCUUCGGGUUGUAAAGCACUUUUUGGAAGGAAUAGGAAGGAAGGUACUUCCAGAAUAAGUCUCGGCUAACUACGUG
This 461-nucleotide ribosomal RNA is filed under the name uncultured bacterium. RNAcentral describes it as "bacterial SSU rRNA". It matches the Rfam family "Bacterial small subunit ribosomal RNA", at positions 28 to 507 of the family's 1533-position model. The record is from RNAcentral.